CCUACGGGGGGCAGCAGUGAGGAAUAUUGGUCAAUGGGCGGGAGCCUGAACCAGCCAAGUCGCGUGAGGGAAGACGGUCCUACGGAUGGUAAACCUCUUUUGCCGGGGAGCAACGGGGUCCGUGCGAGGGCCCGAUGAGAGUACCCGGAGAAAAGCAUCGGCUAACGCCGUGCCAGCAGCCGCGGUAAAACGGAGGAUGCGAGCGUUAUCCGGAUUUAUUGGGGUAAAAGGGUGCGUAGGCGGGCUGUUAGGUCAGCGGUAAAAUGGCGGGGCGCAACCCCGGCCGGCCUUUGAAACUGGCGGCCUCGAGUGGGCGAGAAGUAUGCGGAAUGCGUGGUGUAGCGGUGAAAUGCAUAGAUAUCACGCAGAACUCCGAUUGCGAAGGCAGCAUACCGGCGCCCUACUGACGCUGAGGCACGAAAGCGUGGGUAUCGAACAGGAUUAGAUACCCCAGUAGUC
This 459-nucleotide ribosomal RNA is filed under the name uncultured bacterium. Its description in RNAcentral is "partial 16S ribosomal RNA". It matches the Rfam family "Bacterial small subunit ribosomal RNA", at positions 338 to 795 of the family's 1533-position model. The record is from RNAcentral.